Anopheles stephensi (Asian malaria mosquito) is the source of this 888-nucleotide long non-coding RNA. RefSeq lists it as uncharacterized. The transcript is spliced from 3 exons. The record is from RefSeq and is a predicted model, not a curated record. NCBI's taxonomy places the organism in Eukaryota, Metazoa, Arthropoda, Insecta, Diptera, Culicidae.
GCUUUCUGACAGCGACGGAUGUAAUCUCAAGGGCAGCUGAAGGCUCACGUACAUCGAGCGUGUAAGCUGACGUUCGCGGCCGCAAAUCUAUUAACCGGUUGCUAGUGUGCGUUUGACAGCUGAGGACGUGCAAUCAAAGUGUCAUCCGAUCUCAUCCGUCAAAUCCUAUACUCAAUAUCAGAGUUUCAGAACUGUUCGACAGAUGAUAAACCAGGCUUUCCGGUCUAAGAUCUUGCUAAGACUAUCUUGCUAACGAAGUUAUGCCUGCCAUUUCCGGUUUACUAGACUAGAAUGAUACCACAUACUUGGAUAGUCAGUCCUCACUACGGGGGAACGAUCUGGAAGGGAUUUGAACCCCGGUCCUGCCGAAUGAAGACCGGUGUCGUUAUCGACUCACCAUCCAAGUAUUCUAUCACCAAAUCUAAUCCAAGUUUUUUUUUAUUAGAAUAAUUUUAUUUUGCUCCAACAUAAUCUCUCUUAGCUCACAAGGUGAACUAGAAUGGUGAUGCCUUAAAAAUAGAGCUAACAAAUUGAGCAAAAGUUAAACUUAAAUAUAUAAAUAAAUUGAGCAAAAGUAUAUAACAUAUAACAUAUUUAAAAUAUCCUUCAUGUAACCAACGAAUUAGAGCAAAUUUAUGCGAUUAGAAGCAUUUACAAUGUCUUAUGGUUUAGCAGGGGCAGCACGGCAACUAGAACAAACCCAAAAUUAUAGCACCGUCAAGGAAUUUUACAGCAAAUGAACUUGCGUUCGGAAUGAACACACGCGCUGUGUUCAUGAAGUCAGAGCGAAAAGCAUCGCGCGGUUUCGCUACCGAUCGAUCGAAGGGCGAAAGCUUUAAAAGCUCUUUCAGGUGGAAGCUUACAGUUUUGAAUUGUUUGUGACCAGCU